UACGGAGGAGGCAAGCGUUAUCCGGAAUUACUGGGCGUAAAGAGAUGCGUAGGCGGCCCACCAAGUUUUUGCUUAAAGCUUCCCGCUCAACGGGAAAAUUGGUAAAAAAACUGGCGGGCUAGAGAGCGGAAGAGGUAACUGGAAUUCCCGGUGUAGGAGUGAAAUCCGUAGAUAUCGGGAGGAACACCAAUGGCGAAGGCAGGUUACUGGUCCGUUUCUGACGCUCAGGCUCGAAAGCGUGGGGAGCGAACGGG
This 254-nucleotide ribosomal RNA is filed under the name uncultured prokaryote. RNAcentral's name for it is "partial 16S ribosomal RNA". It matches the Rfam family "Bacterial small subunit ribosomal RNA", at positions 524 to 776 of the family's 1533-position model. The record is from RNAcentral.